RNAcentral lists this ribosomal RNA (387 nucleotides) under uncultured bacterium. RNAcentral's name for it is "bacterial SSU rRNA". It matches the Rfam family "Bacterial small subunit ribosomal RNA", at positions 30 to 417 of the family's 1533-position model. The record is from RNAcentral.
AUUGAACGCUGGCGGCAUGCCUUACACAUGCAAGUCGAACGGCAGCACGGGAGCAAUCCUGGUGGCGAGUGGCGAACGGGUGAGUAAUAUAUCGGAACGUGCCCAGUCGUGGGGAUAACGUAGCGAAAGCUACGCUAAUACCGCAUACGAUCUACGGAUGAAAGCGGGGGAUCGCAAGACCUCGCGCGAUUGGAGCGGCCGAUAUCAGAUUAGGUAGUUGGUGAGGUAAAGGCUCACCAAGCCGACGAUCUGUAGCUGGUCUGAGAGGACGACCAGCCACACUGGGACUGAGACACGGCCCAGACUCCUACGGGAGGCAGCAGUGGGGAAUUUUGGACAAUGGGCGGCAAGCCUGAUCCAGCAAUGCCGCGUGCAGGAUGAAGGCCU